This 884-nucleotide unclassified non-coding RNA is filed under the name Bromus kopetdagensis. RNAcentral's name for it is "partial external transcribed spacer". The record is from RNAcentral. Lineage: Eukaryota; Viridiplantae; Streptophyta; Magnoliopsida; Poales; Poaceae.
GAGUAGCAUGGAUACGUGUCUGCCGGUAGAUCCCCCGUUGUACUUCGGCCGACUACCGGCGCCGUGUCCCGUCACUCUUGUGGCAUUGUCCCGAUGGAUUGAACUUGUGGCUUGCGUGCUAGUACCCGACCUACGGGAAAUGGUGCUUCGGAUAACUGUUGCCUCACGGUGGACGCCCUUUGGGUGUGCCAUUGUGACCGAAUAGCGCUUGCGGCGUUGCCUCGUACAACAGCCAUAUAAUGUGCAUGUUGAUAUCACGGCAACCUCGCUCUCGCUUUUGGUCUAGGAUGCUGCUCACGAUAAAGGCUCGAGGCCCUUCGGGUUGCCUCGAUCCGAAACAAUGUUCUCUCUCCGAAAUGGCGACAACCGUGUUCAUGUCUUGCCUCUACCUUCCACAGUUACGUGGUAGGAUACGCAACCCUAUGGAUCCGGCCCUCAUGGAGGAGGAGACAUGCUUUCUCCGAAAUGGCGACAACCGUGUUCAUGUCUUGCCUCUACCUUCCACAGUUACGUGGUAGGAUACGCAACCCUAUGGAUCCGACCCUCAUGGAGGAGGAGGCAUGCUCUGUCUGAAAUGGCGACAACCGUGUUCAUGUCUUGCCUCUACCUCUCCACAGUUACGUGGUAGGAUAUGCAACCCUAUGGAUCCGACCCUCAUGGAUGAUGAGACAUUCCCAAUGCUCUCUCUGAAAUGGCGACAACCGUGUUCAUGUCUUGCCUCUACCUCUCCACAGUUACGUGGUAGGAUACGCAACCCUAUGGAUCCGGCCCUCAUGGAGGAUGAGACAUGCCCGCUCAAAAGCGACAACUGGCUCGGCUGUUGCGUUUGUCUUUCCAUGCAAGUGGAAUUGCAGGGUAACUACCGAUGCUGGACGUCACCGAGG